RNAcentral lists this ribosomal RNA (217 nucleotides) under uncultured bacterium. RNAcentral's name for it is "partial 16S ribosomal RNA". It matches the Rfam family "Bacterial small subunit ribosomal RNA", at positions 1285 to 1500 of the family's 1533-position model. The record is from RNAcentral.
GUCCCAGUUCGGAUUGUAGUCUGCAACCCGAACUACAUGAAGCUGGAAUCGCUAGUAAUCGCAAAUCAGAAUGUUGCGGUGAAUACGUUCCCGGGUCUUGUACACACCGCCCGGCACACCAUGGGAGUUGGAAAUGCCCGAAGUCAGUGACCCAACCGAAAGGAGGGAGCUGCCGAAGGCAGGUCCGGUAACUGGGGUGAAGUCGUAACAAGGUAUC